GGUAUCCAAUCCCCACUGAAAAGAUCACACUUUGGCGACGAAACUGCACACACACACACACAUGGUGAACACUAAAGUUGAAUCCUUUUCGAUAAAUUUUGAAACUUCAACACUAAUUCUUGAAACCCAAUUGGAGGGUAAAGCUUGGGGAACGAGAAUUGUACCGUUGCCGGAAGGAGAUACAGGCGGGGAAUCAAGGGCGAUGAAGAUUGGAGGAGGGACGGUGAAGCUGGAGAUGAUGAAGUAGUAAGCGAGAGCGACGAGGGAGAAGUAGACGGAGAAUUUGAGGAAGGUUCGAGUGAAGGAGGAGGUGGAGGAGGGAGCAGAGGAGGAGGAGGAGGAGGAGGCGUAGUCUAGAGUUUGUUCGUCAAAGUUGGCGCCUUUGGGGGUAGCCAACAGCACUAAUGUUAGUUGUUGCUCCAUUGAAGAAGGGAAGAGAGACUGAGAGAGUGUGUUUG
Molecule: long non-coding RNA, 458 nt
Filed under: Brassica napus (rape)
Lineage: Eukaryota; Viridiplantae; Streptophyta; Magnoliopsida; Brassicales; Brassicaceae
Description: long non-coding RNA (BNAP_LNC007254)
Source: RNAcentral